GGGCCCGCACAAGCGGUGGAGCAUGUGGUUUAAUUCGAUGAUACGCGAGGAACCUUACCAGGGCUUAAAUGUAGUCUGACAGAUUUGGAAACAGAUUUUUCUUUCGGACAGAUUACAAGGUGCUGCAUGGUUGUCGUCAGCUCGUGCCGUGAGGUGUCAGGUUAAGUCCUAUAACGAGCGCAACCCCUGUUGUUAGUUGCCAGCGAGUAAUGUCGGGAACUCUAGCAAGACUGCCGGUGCAAACCGUGAGGAAGGUGGGGAUGACGUCAAAUCAUCACGGCCCUUACGUCCUGGGCCACACACGUGCUACAAUGGUAGGUACAGAGAGCAGCCACGUCGCAAGGCGGAGCGAAUCUAUAAAACCGUUCGUAGUCCGGAUUGGAGUCUGCAACUCGACUCCAUGAAGUCGGAAUCGCUAGUAAUCG
Molecule: ribosomal RNA, 425 nt
Filed under: uncultured bacterium
Lineage: Bacteria
Description: bacterial SSU rRNA
Rfam family: Bacterial small subunit ribosomal RNA
Source: RNAcentral